AGAACAAACAAUUUUCAUCAGAUAACUGGACUUGACUUUGAAUCCUUGAUCUGAUACUCACUAGCUGCAUGAUCUCGACAAGUUACUUGAUCUCUCUGAACUUCAAUUUCCUCGUUGAUAAAUUGGGAUAAGAAUACCCAUUUGACAAAGCUGUUGCAAAGAGUCAAUGGAGUAAUGGAUGACGAAACAUCACUUACAAUUCCUGUGGGCAGGAACUUCCUUUCAAUGGUUUUCAACUUUAGCAUAGCUGGACGUGGAAUAAGAGCUCCCAUUCAAGUACUAAUCAGGCCCGACCCUGCUUAGCUUCGGAAAUCAGAUGAGAUCGGGCACGUUCAUGGUGGUAUGGCCAUAGAUCAUGGAACCAGAACUCAAUAUUUGAAUCUGCUGCUUAGAUGUGAUAGUUAAGAUCAUGACAAAGAAUAAACCUUCGAGUGUGAGAAGCAGAGGGCUAAGAACUGAUCACCGAGGGAUGGCCAUAGUGAUGGAUUGGGAGGAAACAGUUUGGGACUCUGGCAUUGCAUCGAGGGAGAAGAGAGUUUCAGAAACAGGGAUUUAGGAUAGUUAUUUAAAAAACAAAAAACCUUUGAAUAAAAAAAGAGAACGAUUAAGAAAGCAAUCAACAGUGUCAAAUGCCUAAGAGAAUUCAAGGAGGAUGUGAUUCUCAGAA
Molecule: long non-coding RNA, 667 nt
Filed under: Homo sapiens (human)
Lineage: Eukaryota; Metazoa; Chordata; Mammalia; Primates; Hominidae
Description: HSALNT0283401
Source: RNAcentral